GAUGAACGCUGGCGGCGUGCCUAAUACAUGCAAGUCGAACGAACAGAUAAGGAGCUUGCUCCUUUGACGUUAGCGGCGGACGGGUGAGUAACACGUGGAUAACCUACCUAUAAGACUGGGAUAACUUCGGGAAACCGGAGCUAAUACCGGAUAACAUAUUGAACCGCAUGGUUCAAUAGUGAAAGGCGGCUUUGCUGUCACUUAUAGAUGGAUCCGCGCCGUAUUAGCUAGUUGGUAAGGUAGCGGCUUACCAAGGCAACGAUACGUAGCCGACCUGAGAGGGUGAUCGGCCACACUGGAACUGAGACACGGUCCAGACUCCUACGGGAGGCAGCAGUAGGGAAUCUUCCGCAAUGGGCGAAAGCCUGACGGAGCAACGCCGCGUGAGUGAUGAAGGUCUUCGGAUCGUAAAACUCUGUUAUCAGGGAAGAACAAAUGUGUAAGUAACUGUGCACAUCUUGACGGUACCUGAUCAGAAAGCCACGGCUAACUACGUG
This 497-nucleotide ribosomal RNA is filed under the name uncultured bacterium. RNAcentral describes it as "partial 16S ribosomal RNA". It matches the Rfam family "Bacterial small subunit ribosomal RNA", at positions 28 to 507 of the family's 1533-position model. The record is from RNAcentral.